Molecule: long non-coding RNA, 230 nt
Filed under: Citrus sinensis (sweet orange)
Lineage: Eukaryota; Viridiplantae; Streptophyta; Magnoliopsida; Sapindales; Rutaceae
Description: long non-coding RNA (CSIN_LNC002517)
Source: RNAcentral
UCUCUUCCUCUUUCUAUUUAAAUUCAAUAAUAUGUAACCAUUAAUAAUAAUUAAUUAUAAGUCUUCAAACAUUAAUUUAUUUUCUUAUGCCAACAAUUAAACUUUAGUGGCUUAAAUAUAUCAAUUAAUUAAUAUAGGAAGGAAUGUUCCUUCAUCUUCCCUCAAUAAUGCCAUUAGGGUCUAAUUUUAAUGCUAUAAUCUCAUAUUUAAUUAUGUAACCUUUUGUUUAG